CCAGGACCUGCUCCGGGCCAUCAGUGGCACCCUCAUCUUCCUCGUGGUGGCCCUGGUGGCCUUGGCCUCAUCCCGUGACGCCCUGGCUGCCACCACCUUCACCUUCAGCCUCGUCCUGGCCUUGGUCUUCGCCUUCGACACCUUCGUCACCUUCCGCACACGGGUGGCCCCGGGACAGGACCCCGACAUGGAGGGCGGCUGAAGGCCACGCCCCCCACCGCUGUCCCACUGUCCCCUCUGUCCCCUCGCCACCCGGUCCUGCCCCCCACCCCCCAGAUUAAACCUUGUCCC
Molecule: long non-coding RNA, 291 nt
Organism: Haemorhous mexicanus (house finch)
Lineage: Eukaryota; Metazoa; Chordata; Aves; Passeriformes; Fringillidae
Exons: 3
Source: RefSeq, a predicted model, not a curated record